GUGGGUCAUUUGUGAAAUGAAGGAAUCCGAAUUUGUAUCUCUCGACUCAACGGAGUCGAACCGAGCCCUACAGAUUCUGAGAGCUUCAGGAAUCUUGAGAAUAUUAUCUCUUUCGUGCUGGACAGAUUGAGCGUUGUAUAUUACAGCAAUAAUUUGUAUAGGAAAGCUGCGACUGUGUACGCAUUGAAUGCCUUGUUAACGUAUAACCAGUCAAACACAAAAGCUUUUCGUAGAUGGGUGCACAUUUCAUCGAAAUUAUUAAAAAAGAAGUAACAUCACGUUAUGUUACAUUAACGGAAACAGUUGCAGACAUAGUUGCAGAGUGGAUACGCUUUACAGCACAGUGAAAUAAGAGAGACAAAUCAAAGGAAACGGUUGACGGAAAUGAUAAAGAAAACAUUGCUGAUCCAAACCAUGAAGAAAGUAACUAAAAAUAAAAGUUGCAUUAUAUAUGCAUGUAUAUAUUUAUAUAUAUUACCACUGUAAACUCGAUGUAAAGGAUUUCACUGGUGCGGAUUCUGUCAUCUGAAGGAAACAGUAUCGGUGAUGGUUAUAAAACAAGCCAGUGGGUGCUGGGACUGUUCCCUUUUAAAGAUAGAGUCCGCACUAGCUACGCUAGUGGGUGCUGGGACUAUCUUUUUUGGGAACAGAGUCCGCGCUGGCUACGCUUGGGUGUCACUCUUGGGUGGCAGAGUCUGCACCAAUGGGAUUUUUAAAUCGAGUUUACUACGGUUACCUGAAAGUUAUCUUUCUUUUAUUUUUGAAUUGCGAGAUCUCAGAGUAUACAUUGUAAUUUUGUAAAGUGCAAACUUAUUUCUAACAUUCUGCAAAGUUUUGGUUUUUUCUAAUAUUCUCUUGGUCUUUUAUAAUAUAAUUUGGUUUGGACAAUGCCCUUGAACAUAAUUAACGUUUUGCAGAAUGCAGAAUGUUUGAAGUAUUUGAAUGUUUCAAAUUUCUUGUGUGAUUCUGUAUUUGUAAAUGUAUAUUUUUGGUCACACUGCGACUGACAUUCUGCAAAAUGUUGGAAAUUUGUUUUACAUUGCCCAUUCUGUAAAAUGUUAGAAAUAUUUAUAUUUCCGUUUCUUUAAAUAUGAUAUAUUUUCGAUAACUCCGCCUGACAUUUUGCAAAAUGAAAGAAAUUCGUUUUCAUACGUUUCAUUCUGCAAAAUGUUAGAAAUAUGUUGUCCGUUUAUAUAAUCAUGUCUUUUCCAUAACACUGCGCCUGACAAUCUGUAACAAGUUAGAAAUACGUUUUCACAUGGUUCCGUUUCUUUAAAAACAUGUGUUUUCCGUUACACUGCGUUUGACAUUCCGCAACAUAUU
Molecule: long non-coding RNA, 1323 nt
Organism: Vollenhovia emeryi
Lineage: Eukaryota; Metazoa; Arthropoda; Insecta; Hymenoptera; Formicidae
Exons: 3
Source: RefSeq, a predicted model, not a curated record